AUGGGGAGCUUGCUCCCCUGAGAUCAGCGGCGGACGGGUGAGUAACACGUGGGCAACCUGCCUGUAAGACUGGGAUAACUCCGGGAAACCGGGGCUAAUACCGGAUAACAUUUUCCAUUGCAUAGUGGAAAAUUAAAAGAUGGCUCCGGCUAUCACUUACAGAUGGGCCCGCGGCGCAUUAGCUAGUUGGUGAGGUAAGGGCUCACCAAGGCGACGAUGCGUAGCCGACCUGAGAGGGUGAUCGGCCACACUGGGACUGAGACACGGCCCAGACUCCUACGGGAGGCAGCAGUAGGGAAUCUUCGGCAAUGGGCGAAAGCCUGACCGAGCAACGCCGCGUGAGCGAUGAAGGCCUUCGGGUCGUAAAGCUCUGUUGUUAGGGAAGAACAAGUACCGUUCGAAUAGGGCGGUACCUUGACGGUACCUAACCAGAAAGCCACGGCUAACUACGUGCCAGCAGCCGCGGUAAUACGUAGGUGGCAAGCGUUGUCCGGAAUUAUUGGGCGUAAAGCGCGCGCAGGCGGUCUCUUAAGUCUGAUGUGAAAGCCCACGGCUCAACCGUGGAGGGUCAUUGGAAACUGGGGGACUUGAGUACUGGAGAGGAGAGUGGAAUUCCAUGUGUAGCGGUGAAAUGCGUAGAUAUAUGGAGGAACACCAGUGGCGAAGGCGGCUCUCUGGCCAGUAACUGACGCUGAGGCGCGAAAGCGUGGGGAGCAAACAGGAUUAGAUACCCUGGUAGUCCACGCCGUAAACGAUGAGUGCUAGGUGUUGGGGGGGUUCCACCCUCAGUGCUGACGUUAACACAUUAAGCACUCCGCCUGGGGAGUACGGCCGCAAGGCUGAAACUCAAAGGAAUUGACGGGGGCCCGCACAAGCAGUGGAGCAUGUGGUUUAAUUCGAAGCAACGCGAAGAACCUUACCAGGUCUUGACAUCCUUCGCUACUUCUAGAGAUAGAAGGUUCCCCUUCGGGGGACGAAGUGACAGGUGGUGCAUGGUUGUCGUCAGCUCGUGUCA
Molecule: ribosomal RNA, 1015 nt
Filed under: Pseudalkalibacillus berkeleyi
Lineage: Bacteria; Bacillati; Bacillota; Bacilli; Caryophanales; Fictibacillaceae
Description: bacterial SSU rRNA
Rfam family: Bacterial small subunit ribosomal RNA
Source: RNAcentral